Molecule: long non-coding RNA, 542 nt
Filed under: Mus pahari (shrew mouse)
Lineage: Eukaryota; Metazoa; Chordata; Mammalia; Rodentia; Muridae
Description: lncRNA (MGP_PahariEiJ_G0005903.1)
Source: RNAcentral
GGACAUCAUUACACAGAGGCCGAUAAAGGAUUAUAUAAACCAUAACAAUUAAAAAAAAAAAAAAAAGCCAGCCUUGCAACCUUGAAAUAUUUCUGUAAGUCAUCAGAGAAUGGCAGGGACCUGCUAUCUCUGAAGGUCUUUACCUCGAACUUGUUUUGUAACAUGCCUACUGGUCUGCAGGGAGAAUGCGUUGGAAGCCAUUAUGCUACGGUAGCUGAGGACUCAGUGCAGGUGAAGCUUCCGCCUGAAAGAUGAGCUAAAGCCAGAGGGAAAUUCCAUCCAGGACCGCACAUGUGACUCGUUCCAAGAGCUCUCAAGACAGUGGAUGAAGAAGGAGACGUAGAGAAGCCGAAGGCCCUGCUUAGACCUCCAUGAAGAGAGACUUUGCACCCAGGUGGUUCUGCCUAGACCUUCAACGAAGCUCACUUGGGUUUGAAGAUGAAUGCCAAUGGAGACAUACCUGUUGAUUAUCAACUUUGUGGCAAAGCAUCCUGGUUUGAUAGCAGUAAAAGUCGGUUCCUUCCGAAACUCACAGUCAUAAA